Molecule: unclassified non-coding RNA, 268 nt
Filed under: Melitaea cinxia (Glanville fritillary)
Lineage: Eukaryota; Metazoa; Arthropoda; Insecta; Lepidoptera; Nymphalidae
Description: misc RNA ENSMCXG00005014922.1
Source: RNAcentral
UGGACUCCAAUAGCCUGAACUGACUGACUAAAAUAAAAUACAACAAUAUUCAACAGAAACACAAGCGUCACCAGUAUCGUCUAUAAGAAAGGUAUCCACAGGGUUUGUAGUUCAAGAUCGAAUCCUACAAGAUGCAAAAUCAAGCGUUGUAACAGAUACAAGUAUACCUUACAGAAAAUUAAAAGCUACAAUAACAACCCCUAAAGGAACAAUUUUAUCAUGCACGGGUACAAAAAUAACAUCGGUGUCAUCUGUUCAAAUCCAAACG